UACGGAGGGUGCGAGCGUUGUCCGGAAUCACUGGGCGUAAAGGGCGCGUAGGUGGCGCUGCAAGUCGGUGGUGAAAGCUCGUCGCUUAACGACGAGUCGGCCAUCGAAACUGCAGGGCUCGAGCACUGUAGGGGCUAAUGGAAUUCCGGGUGUAGCGGUGGAAUGCGUAGAGAUCCGGAAGAACACCAGUGGCGAAGGCGGUUAGCUGGGCAGUUGCUGACACUGAUGCGCGACAGCGUGGGGAGCAAACAGG
Molecule: ribosomal RNA, 253 nt
Filed under: uncultured bacterium
Lineage: Bacteria
Description: partial 16S ribosomal RNA
Rfam family: Bacterial small subunit ribosomal RNA
Source: RNAcentral